GCAACAAGUGCAAAACUCUGUCUCAAAAAAAAAAAAAAAAAAAUUCCCAAUAGAUUUUAAUCUAAUUUUAUUGGAACAAUUCAGUCAUAUGUUUUUUCAUGCUAUGUAUGUGAGAGUUCCAUCAUUCAGAUACUAAAUAAAUGUCUACUGUACAUUUACUGUUCUCACUGAUGAUGCAUUAGAUAACCAUGCACAAAAUAAGCCUGGCUGUGGAAAUGCUUAUUUGUUGGAAGGGCGCUUGUUUGGAUCGAUGAUGAGAAUAAUUGUCUGAGGAUGCUGAGGGACUCAUUCCAGAUGUCAAUCUGAGGUCCAGAUGUGUGGCCCUCCACUAGGACAAAUAAGACUCUCAGAGCCUGGCUCUAUUUGGGGAUCCCUCAGUGACAACAGAGUACCCCUGUGAGCAUGCCUUUUCUGUCUCUCCUGAGAGGGCAUUAGCAUCCUGUCUUAGGAGUCAGUAUGCUCUUUAGUAUGCUUACUGACCGAAGACUCACUUUAUUUUGUUCAUUUUGAGCAGAGAAUUGUAGAUAGAUACAUAUAUGGGAAAUAUGUUCUUGAUUAACAAAUGAAAAAGUUUCAGUCAAGAAAGGUCAAGCAACUGUGAUGUAUAGUGAAGGAAGGGAACACUGCGUGCCUAUAUUAAAUAUUGACAAAGGAACCAAUUUUAGUGCCUUGUUAUUUUUACUGUUGAGUAUUUUCUGAGACCAUGUCUUUUUCUUCUAUUUUGUUUUGCUGAGGUAGAGGAGGGCUGGCAUGAGGUCCUCCACUUCAGAAAAUAGGGUUGCUGUGGGAGACCCGCCGCCUGCUGGCAAAGAAGAUGGUCGAUUCUUCUGAGCAAUGGAGGCCCUGCAGAGUCCUGCAGUCACUGUGGCCUGGUGUCCAUGGCGCACCCAAUGCUGGUGGAUGGCUCAAUAUGAGGCAAUUGCUGUGGGAGGUGUUGUGUAACUGCUGGAAGGAAGACACCCCAUUGUUCUGAGCAACGAAGGCCACAUGGAGUCCUGGAUUUUGUGUGGCCUGGCAUCCACGGUGCACCGCGAGCUGGCAGGUGACUCAAGACGAGUGGAUGAUCUGCACUCAUUGCUCAGUGGCACGGCUCUAUGGGGGCCGAAGGUCUUUAACGUCAUUGGCUCACCCACUGCCCGGCCUGUGGUGUCAAACGUCCUGCCUCUUCAAAUGUGCUUGGAUCGAUGAUGAGUCCCCCAAAAAAACAUUCCUUGGAAAAGCUGAACAAAAUGAGUGAGAACUCAUACCGUCGUUCUCAUCGGAUCUGAGGUCCAGCACGUUGGCUUCCCCAGGGACUGUAGGAGUGAGGGACAGCUUCCACUGAUUCCCAUAGGUUCCACCACCCAGGGCAUCCACAGGCCAAAGGCUUCCAUCACACAGAGGUUAGGAACAUUCCCUUUGUGUGAGGUACACAGGUGGGUGAGUCCUGGGGGGAGCGACUGUUCUGUGAUGGUGCGGUAGCCGUGGAAGGGAUGGAAAUAUUGCAGGCCUAGGGUAGUGUGUGCCUGAUGUUGGCUUGGUGAGCUCUUCGGAAGGGAGACCCAGUCCUCAUGGUGGGCAUCUCUGAGCAGAGGACUGAGUCCUUGUUUUCUUGCCGGGGAGAGCACAAGGCCCACGUCUCAGGCAGAUGUUGGUCCUGAUUUUUGGUUUGCUGAGGACAAGGGAGUGUGAAGGAUGAUGGGGGACAGUGUAUUAACAAAGGUUGUUGUGACAGAUAGCCAAAGCUGCUUUGGCCCUUUACCCAGCAUCCGGUCAUGGAGGCCCCCCAGCAGGGAUUUCUUCAUCCCCUGAACCGUGAGAUGCCCCUGGUGCCAUGGUGGAAGCCUGGACUGGAAGGUACCCCACAGAGGAGGCGGUAGGGGGCUCAUGUGGACAUGUGUGUCGUCAGCAUUGUUGGGCUGUUGUUCAGCAGUGAUGGGCUUCCCAUUGACUUCUCUAGUGGAUGACAAGUGGCCAGCAGUGAUCUUAGAGGGCAGGUCCUAGGGAAUAUGAGGGUCAGGCUCAUGCCCCUGGCCCUCAGUCACUUCUCGUCUUCCUGAUAUUGUAGUGGGCUCCACCAUUGUGCACAUCUUCCUGGAAAUGGUCUCUUGGCUUGCCAUUGCCGGGCAGCCCCACCUGCUGCAACUUGUAUGAGCAAGUGUGGCUCUGGAUUGUCUUUCCCACUUUGAAAGCAACUUCCAUCCUGAAGGAGUCCAGAGGGGGCAGUUAUCAUGGGGCGCCCGCCAUAUGCUGGCAACGAACAUGGUCAGUUCUUCUGAGCCACAAAGGCCCCCAAAGUCCUGGAGCUGGUGUGGCUUAGCAUCCACGGUGCGCCCCCUGCUGGUGGAUGGCUCAGGACGGGGCAGUUGCCAUGGGAGGCCCACCGCCUUCUGGAAGGAAGAUGGUCAAUUCUUUUGAGCCACAAAGGCCCUGCAGAGUCCUGGAGUCAGUGUGGCCUGGCUUCCUGGGUGCACCUUGUGCUGGUGGAUCGCUCAGGACGGGACAGUUGCCGUGAGAGGUCGCUGCCUGCUGUCAGGGAAGAUGGUCGAUGCUUCUGAGCAACAUAGGCCCACGUGGAUUCCGUGUGGCCUGGCAUCCACUGUGCACCCCGUGCUGGCGGGUGGCUCAAGACGGAGCAAUUGCCUUUAGAUGCCCACUUCCUGCCGGCACAGCAGAUGGUCAAUUCUUCUGAGCAAUGGAGUCCCCACUGAGUCAUGGAGUCGGUGUGGCCUGGCAUCCACGGUGCACCCUGUGCUGGUGGAUGGCUCAGGACGCAGCAGUUUGUCAUGAGAGGUCUACCGCUUGCUGGCAAGGAAGAUGGUCAAUUCUUCUGACCAACAGAGGCUGCCUUGAGUCCUUGAUUUGGUGUGGCCUGGCAUCUAUGGUGUACCCCAUGCUGGGGCAGUUGCCGUGGAAGGCCCGCAGCCUGCUGCAAGGAAGAUGGUUGAUGCUUACGAGCAACAAAGGCUCCACGGAGUCGUGAAGUCGGUGUGGCCUGGCAUCCACGGUGCACCCCGUGCUGGUGGAUGGCUCAGGACGGUGCAGUUUUCAUGGGAGGCAUGGCAUCUGCUGGAAGGAAGAUAGUUGAUUCUCCUGAGUAAUGAAGGCCACGCAGAGUCCUGGUUUCGGUUAUCCACAGUGCACCCUGUGCUGGUGGGUGGCUCAGGAUGCCAGGUUCUGGUCACAAAUAUGUGAAGCCGUAGACUAGCGGAUUUCAUAAGUACCACAGGAGUCUAGAUGACAUGGCCUUCCUGACCUGUGAACCUGUCUUUCUGAAGCACACUCAUUUCUUCUGCACCUUCCCAGUGUCAUUGGCAUGGAAGGAAGGCCCUUGUCCAAGAAAGAUGGUCUUCGUCUUGUGUGAUCUUUGAGAUGCCAUGAGGCCCCUGGAUACACAUGGUGUGGGCUCCUUUGGAGGCUUUUGGAUUUCUCCUGAAUGUGGCGUUGGUAUGAAAGGAAGGCCAGUGACCACAAGGGACGAUCUUGAUCUUGGGAGAUUUUUGGAGAUGGUGAAGUGCCUGUAAACAUGUGUGUCAUGGUCUCCUUCCGGCUGGUGGACACCUCAGGACGGUGGUGUUGGCAUGGAAGGAGGGCCUGUGUCUGCGAGGGAUGAUCAUCCUCUCAUGUGAUCCUUGGAGAUGCCAGGUAGCCCCUUGACACAUGUGGCAUGGACUCCUUCAGAGGCUUUUGGAUCCUUCAUGAAUGUGGCAUGGGCAUGCAAAGACAGACAGAGGCUGCAGGGAUGAACUUCAUCUUGGGGGAUCUCUGGAGAUGGCAGGGAACCCCUGGACACAUGUGGCAUGGGCUCCUUCGGGUGCCGGUGGAUCCCUUUAUAUGGUGGCCGUGAUGAAUUGGCCAGGCCCAUGUUGGUGAGGGACAAUCAUCAUCUCGUGCCAUUCUCAGAGAUGCCAGGAAGCUCCUGGACACACAUGGUGUAGGCUUCUUUGGAGGCUGUUGGAUCCCUCCUGAAUGUAAGCAGUUCCUUCCCAGUGCAUCCUGAUUUUCCUCAUUUGCAGAAACAAAGAUUGUGCAUGGAUCGAUGAUGACUUCCAUAUA
This is a non-coding RNA of Chlorocebus sabaeus (green monkey), 4035 nucleotides long. Lineage: Eukaryota; Metazoa; Chordata; Mammalia; Primates; Cercopithecidae. The record is from RefSeq and is a predicted model, not a curated record.